RNAcentral lists this long non-coding RNA (786 nucleotides) under Homo sapiens (human). Its description in RNAcentral is "non-protein coding lnc-AMDHD1-1:2". Lineage: Eukaryota; Metazoa; Chordata; Mammalia; Primates; Hominidae. The record is from RNAcentral.
CCUAAAUGAAGUAAGUUUUGAUUAGAAGUUACCACUGAAUCUCCCUUAAAGAGAGUUGUGACUGGGACUCCGUUUGUUCCCUAGGGGAGACAAUAAAAAGGUCAACACAGCUCCCACCUCGAAGCAGCUGCCAGUUUAUUACAUGAAGUGUCAGGCUGUGGACUGCAGGCAUGCCAUUUUGUCUUCAAGAACAGAAUUCCCGGGCACACGAAUGAUUCCAGGGUUCCUCCAGCACUUUGGUAUUACUUGAAAGCAAUCUUAAGGGAUCUAGAAUGAACCAACGCCCAAAAAGGAUCCCUUAGCAGCGGUGAUAUCAAAGAAACACUUUUGAAGAACUAAUUUUCCACCCAGAUUUCCCCAAUUUUAAAAGCAAUGGGCAAAGCCUUCUCCACUCCUAAACUUCCUGGAACUGUCUUUUGGCUAUAUCAGGCCCCUGAAGUUAGAGUCUUUGAAAGACUCCAAACUCCAAAUUCUAUGCUUUUAUUCUCAGGCUCCUCAUAAUUCUACAGCACACCAGACUGCUGACCACUCUCCGUACCACUUUUAAAUUAUUUCUUCCCACAGCUUUCUUAACAAUGAACCUUUGAAAUCUUUUUAGUUUUCCAUUUAUUUUGCUACCUUUCCUCUGUCCUAGCUCUAAAAUGAAGAUCCUCUAAGGUUCUACAGUUUACUUCUUGUAUUCUCCUUUGUAAGUCAUCUCCAAGACGAUGUCCAAAUCCAUCACCAUUAAAAUUAAUAGUUUCCUCACCCACAACACUUAAUAUUUUAAAAAAAAUACUUUUCAUU